AAAUACCGACAAUGUCCUUAUUAAGUAAAAACAAUUGAAAUACGAAAAAAAUGAUUAAAAUAAAAUAUAAAAAAUACAUAAAACACGAAAAUUAAUCUAAUAACGUCAAUUAAGAAUUUUGAGAAUUUUUGCGGAAUUUUCGGAAACUACAAAAACAUAAAAUAAAUCAUAAAAAAUAGAAAAAUAGGGAAUUUGCUAAUAAAUCGAC
This 208-nucleotide long non-coding RNA is filed under the name Lathyrus oleraceus (garden pea). Its description in RNAcentral is "Pisum sativum (pea) long non-coding RNA (PSAT_LNC036812)". The record is from RNAcentral. Lineage: Eukaryota; Viridiplantae; Streptophyta; Magnoliopsida; Fabales; Fabaceae.